UUAGUAUUUUUUUUUUAUAUUAGUUUUAAAUUGCCAACGGUCAAAAACUGUCGCUACAUAUACUUUACGCUAGUGAUUUUUUUGUAGAAGUACCGACAGUUUAUAAAAUGUUGCUAGAGAUUAUCUUCUCCAAUGGUUAAUAAAAGUGCUGGGAAAGGGUAAUAGCAGCAAGGAUAUAGUAACGGUCAUCUAUAUAUACUUUUACCAGCACUUUUAGAACUGCUAGAGCAAAUAUUACCAGCGGUUUUUAUAAUCUUUUCCAACAGUUUUGGCUGCUGGUGUAUACCUAUAUUGUUGUAGUGUAUUACCCUAUUUAUAGAUCGUCCCUUGAUCAGUUAUUGCUCUUACACGAUCGGCCAUUAUCUCCUAAUAUCCCGGACCACCUCCAGCUGAUCGGAACCGCAUGCAACUGCUUGCGGUUACUGUAACAUCCUUCAAUUGGCGCGACGGUUUUCUUUAAAACAUUUCUGGUGCUCCUGGUGCACGGCCAGAUUGAUGCCUUUGAAGGGAAUACCGGCGUACCACCUGUCCGCGCCUAAUUGACUCAACAACUCCUAUCAUCAUUUUNCUUUUACUUCCGCUUUUCUCGUAGACGCCUUAUAUGUGUAGACAUAUGGCGGGUCUGGGCACGCUACCGGGAGGGCCUCCGCCGGUCCCGGGGCGUGACAGAGGUCGUGUAUCUUGCAUUAAUGAAAACCGGUAAUACUACAUAUUAUGUAAAAUGACAAUUUUACCCUGUAACUCUCGAAACCCUUUCAAUACGUUAUUAUUUUAAAAAAAUUAAUUUACAAUUUUGAAUUGUCAACUUUUAAUUUUUAAUUUUUAAUUUUUAAUUUUCAAAUUUUAAUUUUUUAAUUUUUAAUUUUUAAUUUUUAAAUUUCAAAUUUAAAUUUGUAUUUUAAAUUCUGAAUUUUAAAUUUAGAUUUUAAUUUUUUAUAUAAAUAUAUAUUUAUAUUUAUAUUUUAGAUUUUUUAGGAAUUUCAAAUUUAUAUUUAAAUUAAAAUAUUAAAUUUAUAUUUUUGUCAAUUUAAAAUUAAAAAUUUUAAAAAUUAAAUUAUUUAAAAUAAAAUUUGGUAAAAAAAUAUUGUUUGUAAACAGUAAAAAAAUGUUUACGAAAUAUAACUAAGGGCAAUUUUGAAAUAGACUAUAUCUUAUUGUCUAGAUUACUAAAUUUUACCGACAGAACCAAACAUAGUAACAUUAUAAAUACUACAAUCCGGUAUUAUAUUACUGUAUUAAACCAAACGCACUAAUGCAGCAUCAGUAGUAAUCUCAUGUAGAAAUCCAAGAUGCCUGGAUAUAUCGAAAUACUCUGUAAUAUAACAUAACUCAAACCAAACGCACCAUUAGAUUAAUCCCUUUGAUCAUUUCUGACCUUUAGAUUAAUAUUAUCACCCUAAGGGACCACUCAACCCUAACAGGGACCAUUGUCAUCCCGAUCCUACAAUUCUUGAUUCAAGGGUUAAAAAGUGACCAUAUAAUUUCGAAAGCAUAGUAGCUCUACACUCGUUCGAAUAAUAAUAUAUAUUAAUAUGCACAAAUGAAUAUAAAUAAAAUUAACAACAAUACAAUAAAAAUUUCACAUUUAUGUUCAAAUUUUUAUCUACCUAUAUUGGAUAGAAUAAAAUUCAAAAUUUAACAAAU
RNAcentral lists this long non-coding RNA (1644 nucleotides) under Ananas comosus (pineapple). RNAcentral's name for it is "long non-coding RNA (ACOM_LNC037945)". Lineage: Eukaryota; Viridiplantae; Streptophyta; Magnoliopsida; Poales; Bromeliaceae. The record is from RNAcentral.